GACGAAGGGGGCUAGCGUUGUUCGGAAUUACUGGGCGUAAAGCGAGUGUAGGUGGUUGUCCAAGUUGGAUGUGAAAGCCUUGAGCUCAACUCAAGAAAUGCAUUCAGGACUGGGCGACUAGAGGACCGGAGAGGAUAGUGGAAUUCCCAGUGUAGUGGUGAAAUACGUAGAGAUUGGGAGGAACACCAGUGGCGAAGGCGGCUAUCUGGACGGUUUCUGACACUAAGACUCGAAAGCGUGGGGAGCAAACAGG
Molecule: ribosomal RNA, 253 nt
Filed under: uncultured bacterium
Lineage: Bacteria
Description: partial 16S ribosomal RNA
Rfam family: Bacterial small subunit ribosomal RNA
Source: RNAcentral